Molecule: non-coding RNA, 474 nt
Filed under: Ooceraea biroi (clonal raider ant)
Lineage: Eukaryota; Metazoa; Arthropoda; Insecta; Hymenoptera; Formicidae
Description: Eukaryotic small subunit ribosomal RNA
Rfam family: Eukaryotic small subunit ribosomal RNA
Source: Rfam by way of RNAcentral
CAGUGCAUGCCGAAUUAAGGUGAAACCGCGAAUGGCUCACUAAAUCAGUUAUGGUUCAUUGGAUUGUACCAACAUUUAUUUGGAUAAUUGUGGUAAUUCUAGAGCUAAUACAUGCAAAACAGAGUCCCGACCAGUGAUGGGAGGGACGCUUUUAUUAGAUCAAAACCAAUCGGUGGCGCGCGGUCCCCGUGCGUCCGCCGUUUAUCCUGGUGACUCUGAAUAACUUUGAGCUGAUCGCACGGUCCUCGUACCGGCGACGCAUCUUUCAAAUGUCUGCCUUAUCAACUUUCGAUGGUAGGUUCUGCGCCUACCAUGGUUGUAACGGGUAACGGGGAAUCAGGGUUCGAUUCCGGAGAGGGAGCCUGAGAAACGGCUACCACAUCCAAGGAAGGCAGCAGGCGCGCAAAUUACCCACUCCCGGCACGGGAAGGUAGCGACGAAAAAUAACGAUACGGGACUCAUCCGAGGCCCCGU